AUGAGCAAGCUCUGGACCAUCCUCACCCACCUCCACACCCUCGCAGGGCCUGGCGUGAUGCUCCUGUACCCGCUGUACGCGUCGGUGCAGGCGAUGGAGAGCCCGUCGAAGCUGGACGACGAGCAGUGGCUGGCCUACUGGAUCCUCUACUCCUUCGUCACGCUCGUCGAGAUGGUCCUCGAGUCCCUCAUCUACUGGAUACCGAUCUGGUACGAGCUGAAGCUGCUGUUCCUGGCGUGGCUGGCGCUGCCCAACUUCAGGGGAGCGGCCUUCAUCUACGACAGGUUCGUCAGGGAGCAGCUCAGGAAGCACGGCCUCACCAACCACCCCGGCAGCGGCAUCAGCAGCAGCAAGAAGGAGAACGGCGGCAAGUCGUCCUCGCCGUCGACGUCCCCCAAGGAGAAGGAGAACGCCAAGAGCAGGUUCCUCUCCUUCGGCGCUCCCAAGAAAGACCACUGA
RNAcentral lists this ribosomal RNA (459 nucleotides) under Triticum aestivum (bread wheat). RNAcentral describes it as "partial small subunit ribosomal RNA". Lineage: Eukaryota; Viridiplantae; Streptophyta; Magnoliopsida; Poales; Poaceae. The record is from RNAcentral.